Molecule: long non-coding RNA, 558 nt
Organism: Salvia miltiorrhiza (redroot sage)
Lineage: Eukaryota; Viridiplantae; Streptophyta; Magnoliopsida; Lamiales; Lamiaceae
Exons: 3
Source: RefSeq, a predicted model, not a curated record
UUCAUCCUUAUCGACUCUUAACUGCUACUCAGCCACGACUUCGAAUUCUUGGGGAGAAAGUAUUUUCCCUCAACCACAAUUUCAGUAUUUUUCUUGUCAGCCACACAUUUAAAAUUCCUGCUCAACCACGAAUUUUAUUUGACAUUCUUGGGCAGCAAGCAUAACAUCUUCUAUUUAUAGCUCAAUUCAUCAUCCCCAAUUCGCUUUUUCCUCAUCUGUUUCUCUUACACCAUAUAAUCCAUUUCCAUCUCUCACUACAGAAUCCAAGCUGGUGCGGCGCGACUAGAACGUGGAUUUUAAAUUAUCGCAGUUACGUUUCAAAGUUCAAGUUUCAGGUAAUUAAAGUUGGAGACGCGUAGAGGAUCGAAUGGGCGCGUCAAGUAAACUUUUUGAAAAGGGUGUUAUGUAGUAGUUGCACUUAAUAUAUUAUCAAAUGUUUUGCUUGUAUAGCUUUUGAGUCUCAAACUACUUUUGAGAUUGAUUUAACUUAUCAAGUUUAAUAUUGUUAUAUUUUCUCUCGUGACUUGUCGUAAUUUUAAAUUCAAGUUUUAUAUCAAA